AUACGUAGGUGACAAGCGUUAUCCGGAUUUACUGGGCGUAAAGGGCGUGUAGGCGGUCUUGCAAGUCAGAAGUGAAAUUCCUGAGCUCAACUCGGGCGCUGCUUCUGAAACUGCAGGACUUGAGUGCUGGAGGGGAUAGCGGAAUUCCUAGUGGAGCGGUAAAAUGCGCAGAUAUUAGGAAGAACACCGGUGGCGAAGGCGGCUAUCUGGACAGUAACUGACGCUGAGGCGCGAAAGCGUGGGGAGCAAACAGGAUUAGAUACCCUGGUAGUCCACGCUGUAAACGAUGAAUACUAGGUGUCGGGUGGCAAAGCCAUUCGGUGCCGCAGCUAACGCAAUAAGUAUUCCACCUGGGGAGUACGUUCGCAAGAAUGAAACUCAAAUGAAUUGACGGGG
This 396-nucleotide ribosomal RNA is filed under the name uncultured bacterium. RNAcentral's name for it is "partial 16S ribosomal RNA". It matches the Rfam family "Bacterial small subunit ribosomal RNA", at positions 523 to 918 of the family's 1533-position model. The record is from RNAcentral.